Molecule: long non-coding RNA, 714 nt
Organism: Hydra vulgaris (swiftwater hydra)
Lineage: Eukaryota; Metazoa; Cnidaria; Hydrozoa; Anthoathecata; Hydridae
Source: RefSeq, a predicted model, not a curated record
CAUUUCAACUCUUUUAUUAUAGAAAGUUAUCACUCACAACUAAUAAUAAUGGUCAUAUUCGUCAAUAUUGAUGAAAAUAAUAAACAGUUUGAGAAACAAAGAAAACAAAAAAUACAUUACUUCAUUACUUUCCAUUUCAAUCAUUGGUGGAACCACUACCGUUCUUAUGCAAGAGAAAAUAUAAUCCAACUAAAAAUAACCAACAGAAUAGUAAGCAAGUAUCCACUCCUAUAACGCAAAAAAAAAAAAGGAAACAACUUUUAUGCAUACUUCGCAUACUAUAGUUCAAGGAUCAGCAAUGGCAAGAUUUUCCUAAGGAAAGAGAGUAUUUUAAUAUAGUGCACAGCCAAGGUGGCGUGUGUGUUUUUCCACAUAAAAGAAAAAAGAUUGUUUUACCAGAGAUACCUGCAUUUGUUUCCCUUAUAAGAAAAGCUACUAAAAAAGAUUCCUUAUCGAAUGGAAAGUCUCCCAUUACUGAGGAAGAAUUUCAGAAGAAAGUUUUAAAUGCACUGGUAGAAAUACAGGAGAUGUUAGUAAUGCUCUUUCCAGUAAUUAAAAUAUCAUCACGACAAAUAGUCCUGAUAUUUUAUGAACGAAUUCGCAGCAGUCAUUUAGUGAUUAUGAUAACAGUUUAAAUGAUUUUUGGGGAUUAUGAUUACAGUUUAAACGGGUGAUGUCUGAAGUGGUUACCAAAACUUUCUAAAAUCAGAGUUA